GGGGGAUAACAGUACCGGAAACGGGUGCUAAUACCGCAUAGUUUUCUUGAUCGCAUGAUUGAGAAAGGAAAGACGGGCCUUUGUGCUGUCGCUUAUGGGAUGGACCCGCGGCGUAUUAGUUAGUUGGUGAGGUAACGGGCUACACCAAGACGAUGAUACGUAGCCGGCCUGAGAGGGUGAUCGGCCACAUUGGGACUGAGACACGGCCCAAACUCCUACGGGAGGCAGGCAGUAGGGAAUCUUCCGGCAAUGGACGAAAGUCUGACGGAGCAACGCCGCGUGAGUGAAAGAAGGUUUUCGGAUCGUAAAACUCUGUUGUCAGAGAAGAACAAGUUGGAGAGUAACUGCUCCAGCCUUGACGGUAUCUGACCAGAAAGCCACGGCUAACUACGUGCCAGCCGCCGC
Molecule: ribosomal RNA, 405 nt
Filed under: uncultured bacterium
Lineage: Bacteria
Description: bacterial SSU rRNA
Rfam family: Bacterial small subunit ribosomal RNA
Source: RNAcentral